Molecule: long non-coding RNA, 7120 nt
Filed under: Taeniopygia guttata (zebra finch)
Lineage: Eukaryota; Metazoa; Chordata; Aves; Passeriformes; Estrildidae
Description: lncRNA (ENSTGUG00000026575.1)
Source: RNAcentral
UUUUUCUUUUUUCUUUUUUUUUUUUUUCUCAAAGUAGUGUUCAGUUGACAUCUGUACAACUGGGAAGGACUUUCCAGAAGUUCCAUGGCAAUGACGAAGCUGGUCAAACAUAGUUCUGUUAGCACAGCUGAAGGGCUGGAAGGUGGGGAGAAAUCCCAGGUAUGAAUGAGCCUUCUCCCAAGAGAAACCACAGCAGAAAGCCAGGUUCUUCCUGUAAAAUCAGUAUGCAUUUUGGAGGAUGAGACUUGACCAAAAAUAAUCUGUCCCUGGGAAAUGUAAUUAAGCAUUCUGAUACUUACUUUACUCUGGCAGUCUGGUAAAGAUUACAGAUUAUGGAAUGUUAUGUGGUCUUUCUCCACACCUAUUAUUUUGUACCAUAGUUGUUUUACUGAACUCUGCAUAGAGUAGAACACUUGCUUUUCAUUUAAACAUGACCAUUGUCCAGGCUUGGGGAGUGACUUAGGUGUGGCCAGCUAAGGGAACACUGCCCUCUGUUUCCCAGAGUGACAUUCCCCUUCAAGGUAACACUCACACCCCAUUCUAUGGGACCAGGGGUGGAAAAUGGAGCUCCAUCAAACCACCAAAGCCCAUCAUCUGGCAAGAAGGAUUCCCCACACUGAGAAGAAUUAAGCUGAGUAUCUUGGUCAAAAAGAAGGAAAACAUGGGAGCUCCAGAGCCAAGUCUGUCUUCCACACUACAACAGAGAAUAUGGAAAACUGACUCAAAAGAAAAUGUCCAAAUAUUUAUUUGGUAAUGCUUUGUCUUAAAUAGAGCUAAACAUAUUCUAUAAAAUCAAGCAAGCCCUGUUUAAAUAUUUGGUGUCUUAAAUCCAGGAACCUUGGACUAGUGGCAUCAAAAGGAACUGAACCUGCAGCCUCUCUAAUUUACACCAAACACAGAAACAAGGUCAGGAAAACUGGUGAAACUACUCAUUAAAAGUUGUAUUUUACAUGACUUUCUUGAUAGCAGAGUCUCCUUGUGCAGGGGUGAACUGAUCUGAGAGCAAGUUGCCUUUAUUCUAAUUCCAGAUGGUGAAAAAGAAAGACUCUGAAUAACAAGAGUGUCAGGUGGCCAAACAUAUGUAACAUAAAUUCAGAUUCUGGCAGUUUCAUGAAGACUUAGGUGAUGCUCAUCCCUUUACUGCACUACUAUUUAAUUUAGUCUCUCUGGCAUGAGUCUCCCUAACUGCAAGAGAAAGAAGCACAACCACACUCCUUUUACAACCUGUGUGGCCACCCCACCUGUGGGUAGCUGAACCUUUCAGAGCAUUUUCCUACCUGCUAAACUGUUAAAAUAGUUCCAUAACCUGAAGAGGAUAACAUAUUGUUCUAGAAUUCUCUCAAGUUAGUCUUCAAUUAGGAAAGUUUGACAACUGGGUGUGAUCAGUUCCUUCAUUCAAGCUGAAUCCAAACUGUGUGUUCCACUCUCUGAAACAGCAGCCAUUUGACAGCUGUUUAUUCUCAAGCCUGUGUGUUGUGCCCAUUUCCUCCUCCCUGCUCAGUUAUUUACUUUCAGAUUACAAACUCAUUAGAGCAGGUGUUACUCAGAGAAACAAAAGCAAAUGGACAGAAAAUAACCCGCCCUCAUCCCUAGAUCUUUGUUGGGCAGCAUAAAAUCCAGCACAUAUAGUACUAAAACAACCUUCCCAUUCUGCUUUUCAAAUGUCACUUGAUUAUAGCAUUAUAAAUUUUAUGCUGUCUGAAAGUGUGAGUGGUUACUUCCAAAGAACAUGAUUGUUUUAUUUUCCUGCAGUUCCUGCAAUGGAUAGCAUAAGUUAACUUCGGGAUUUCCUUAAAAAAUUCUGUUUUAAUUCUUGUCACAUUUAUUCUGAAUGCACAUUUUUCAUUGCCUCUUUUUGUCCUUGGAAUUUAUCCCCUACAUCUAACAUAUGUUGGUAAACUGUAUUUAUGAGCUGACCUAGUUAACUAAAAUAAAUUUCCAGGUAGGUAGUACUAACAAGAAUAUUUUAACAACUUUAAAACUGACAAAUUUGCAGAACCUGACCCCAGUUUUCAAGAGGAAUAAAAAAAGGAGCAAAAUAAAACAAAUACAGCCAAACUGAUACUUUUUAAAUACAGACCAAACAAAAAUCAAAAUUUAAUGAAUAAUCUGCACUGAAAAAUAUUUGGGGUGGAGUUAUGUUUGUCAACUGUGUCACUACCGCCAAGGUGACCUACCUAAAUGCUUGAUGAUAUUUAGCUUGGUAUCUUGUUUUCAUUAAUAUUCAGCUAUCUUCAAAUAGACUAAUUCCAAAAUUUCCUUUUCCCCUUCUUUUUUUCUUCUUUUAGGAUGUCAAAGUAAGACCUGGGAUAGUCACCAGUGAGUACAGCCAUCUCCAACAAAUGGAGGGAGCUGCAUCAUCCACAGAUUGAUGCCAUGAAGAGAAGAGGCAGCUGAGCUGAGCAGCUGGGCUGGGAAGUGUGGCCAGGCCUCAGAAGAGGCUUGGUGGAAGAUUUUGCUACUUUGGGUAAGGCAUUGACUGACUACAUACUGAGACUACUGAGCUUUGCUGAAAUCCAGAACGGGAAGGAGGAUUUCAUAACAGCUCACUAAAUGUAUUUGAUAGUUAAUAUCUAUCACAUCAGAUAUCAAAUAAAGCUGAAACAUAAGUAUUUUAUAUAUAAAGUAUUCCAUACUACAAAUAAAAAUUAUAACAAACCAUUUUUCCAAGAGAGAUAAACAAUAAUGUAUACAUUCUUAAAAGAAAUACAAUAGGCUAUUUUUUAAAAUCAGCACUGAAGUGCAAAUACAAUUGCAUUUUAUAAUGUCUGACUUAUAAAUCUACCCCUUUAGAGGGGCCAAGCUAAUAGGAGACUAUCUUUUACACAGACACAGUUAAAGAUUUCAUGCCUUUGAGACCUUAAGAGAAAUAGUGGCAUAAACUAAUCCUACCCUCAAAACCCAUUUCCCUGUUGCCAUGUCAUGGACACCAGCACGAAUACCAGCACUGAUUUCACUGCUUGUGAGCCAGGCUGUGGUUUAUAUCCAUUUUUUUUUUUAUUUAAUCCAAACCAAUACCCCUUACAAAAGCAAGAUCAACAGUCACUGUCAGGAAUAGCAUAAAAUUUUGCUACUGCCCUUCUGUACUGCAAAGCUGCAGGCUGGCAGUAGUUUAAAAAAACACAGACAAUUGCUUGGCACACAAACUCUUCCUCAAGCCUGAAGAUGAGGCAUGACCUUCCAGUGAAGUAAAGUUGUUGCCUAAAACAACUGCUCUGAGCUUAACUGAAUUGUAUCAACCAACUAAAAAGUUGUAGAGAUAAGACAACUGCUCUUGGUGCAGAGCAGAAUAAUAAGAUUAUAAGGUUACAAGGUUAUAACAUCUUUACCCCUUUUAGGGCAGCAACACACAGACAGGUAAUCAUCUCCUGCAGAAUAAUGUGAGCAGAAGAUUUCUGUGCACCAGAAAUUCAAAACACCUCAUUCAGCAUCCAUAACUGAUUUUCAUAAGGUAUCUUGUAGAAUAUGUUGAGGUUCAGACUUGAGAGAUCAAAGAUUAAUUGGGGAAGAGGGAGUAAAAAAGGGAGGCUUACAUGUAUCUGGAUAUUUCCUGAGGUUUGCUGAACUUGUUAAGUCCAUUGCAAUACAUAAUGUGUGUUUGGUCCCUACUGCAUUGUUUUCUAUGAGGACAUUUGGAAGUCUGUGACAUUUUGGGAGACACAACCAUCCCUGUACAUUACCUUGUUCUCUCUGGCUGUGAUUUCAAGCUUAUGUAACCAUCAUUGCAUGCUGCUAAGCUAUGACUGAAAGAAGAGACCUUACACCCACUACAACCAGCUGUACUUCCCAUAAAACUUCUAGUUACUCAUUUUACAUGUAAAAACAGCUUGUUUAAUCAAUAUGUUACUUGGAAGCAAAAUAGACAGCAUUGUAAGCACUAACUCUCUGUCCAGAGAGACUGUGUACCAACAAACUAUUUGGUUUGGUUUGGUAUUUAAGUACCAUUUGCUGAAACAAACUAUAGGGGGGAAAAACACAGUAAGAUGUGAUCAUUUACUAAUCUACUUCUCAAGAAGUUCUUCUCAAAAAAGAAUAAAAUCUAUAAAGUUUAGUUCCUCUAAUCUUCAGAAAUAAAACUCCCUAAUUGUUGGAUGAGUAUGGCUGUUCUGAAUGGCAAACUCUUACUGGCAAUGCAGGAAUACAUUGACACUGUGGGAUGGUUGAGGUAGAUAUAGAACCCUUCCACCACCUCACAAAUAAAGGCCUUAAAACUCACAUAAGAAAGCUCAUUAAUGUGUGUACACAUUGACAUCCAUUCCCUUCAUGCUUUCCCUUGACUGUCCAUAACUCAUGUCUUCAUGGUCCCCUUCCUUCAGCCCUCUAAUACCAGACACCCCUGCCUUUUUCUCUGUCUUGCCUGCAGAGCUCCUGCACAUUUACCUGCUUUUUCCCCUUGGCUUGCUCAUUCUGUUACGCCCAUUUCUCCUCUCUGUCAUUUGGAGGUCCCCUUCACUUGUUUGCAAUUACCAGAGGCUGAUUUUCUCAGAGAAAUUUCUUUCAAAUAUUACAAUUAUCCAUCAACCAUCUCACUUCAAUCCCUUACGUGACAAACAUGCUUGGCUACUCAUAGAACCUCCCUAAACAGCUCACUGGCAAGACCUACAGAUCUCAGACAGGUUUUGAAGAAAUGUAGCUGGAGAGCCUCAAGCAACAUAACUUUAGUUUAAGCUCCUUCAUUAGUCUCAGCUAGGGGGGAAAGACAGGUGAAUCACUCUCCAAAUGUGUUUAACUCUCCCCCAGUUUAACCUGAGCAACGAUUUUUGAAGAGCUGAAGUGCAGUACCUACCAUGUAGAUAUUUACAGAUAUUUGCCCUAGCCUGGGAAAUGUAUUUAAGAUAAUGCUAAGUGGAAAGCAAUAGCUGCACUCAGGGAGACAUUUAUCUGACCUGUGUUAGAUAUGUACAGUUGGGUAAAAUUAAUUGAAAUUUAUAAACUAGAAAUAGGUUAAAAGGAGCCUAGAGUGAUUAGCUCAAUUAAUUACAUUUAGUUAGAUGAUUCCCAACCCUUACACGAAGAGAAAUAAAUCCUUUCUAUUCCCAGAGCAGUUUCUCAUAGUGUAUAUGCAUUUCUCGACUCCACUUUUUGCCACAGCUUGGGUCUGAAAUAAUGAAUUAAUAGUUUUAUUUUGCAAAUCUCUUAUCCUUCUAGUCACCUUCCUUCAUGUUCUCAUGCCUCAGACUUACACACUGAACAUCUCAGGUUUGCUGCUGCAAUUGACUGCUUCUUCCAAGAGAAAAGGUAACUCCAUUUAAUCUUAAAUUUACAUCUUUACAGAUCAUAUAUAACUCACUAAUCUCCGUUUCUGAUCUCCUAUUCUAAAGAAUUAAUUUCUCAUUCUGUCCUUUAAACAUCCACAUUCCAACAUGCUUCUCUCUAUUCCUUGGCUUCUCUUCUGCUUGCUUUCCUUCUUCAUCUGCAUCUUCACCUGCUUACUCCUCAUUUGCAAAUAUAAAACUGUUUGACAAACAACAAUAUUACUCACUGCCUUCCUAGAUUAUUAACAAUGACCAUGCUGAGCCCAAACAAAUACACAUCCAGCUCAGCACUUCUCUGAUGGAAGCUAGCAGUGAACUUUGCCUCUCGGAAACUUUCCUCCUCUGCCAAAAUUAUGCUCAAAACCAAGUCAAUUUUUCCUCCAGUUACUGAAUUUCCUCCCAAAUUUGCCUGCUUUGCCUAAACACCAGCACAGGUUUUAGCAAUACAGUAGAUACAAUGAUUUUGUAAGAAUAACUGAAGAAAUUUUAGCUAAAUUUUAGGCUACAUUGUCAGUGGGAUGAGACCAAAAUAUGUAUCAUUCUCAGGCAGCUGGAAUAUACCCUGCCUUUUGAUUGCACAAGUCUCCUUACGGAUUUGGACACAUACGAAUGAUGGCAACCACCUACAACUGAGCUCAUGUUCUCUGCUCUCUUUGCAGGCAGUGGCAAUCUGACUGACACAGGGGACCUCAGCUCCUCUUCUCCAUGAGCUCAGCACCCCCAGGGACUGCAGCUGCCCUUUCCUCCCCGUGGCAGUCCCAGCACAGUGCUGUCUAUAACCCACCCUGCUCACAAAGUACACAGGCCACUGCCUGCCUGUCAGCAGCGUGUCAACGUGAGCUGCCCUGGGCUGUGUCAGCAGAGCUGCUCAAAUAUUCCGGGAUCUCACUGCCAGGAGGAAGGCAAUUCCCCCCAGAAGGCUGCCUGACGUCAUGGAACCAUGGUGGUGUGCUCUGGUGAGGUUUAGAAGGGCUGGGGCACACUCAGGUAGGAAGCAGAGAUAAGAUUGCUUGCCAAAACCUUCUCUGCUUUCUCUUAGUCAACAAAACAAACAAGAACACACAAAAAAAAAAUCUCCCAGGAAAUCCCAUCCUAUGAGCAAUCUUAAGAGCACCGUGCAACUGCUUCCUUUUACUGAUAGAGAAAUAAUUCACUUCCUGUCCACUUGCAACUUUGAACACAAACAAGUUACAGGAAAAAAGCUAUUGUAGAACAGUCAUGGCAUGAUGCCAACAAUAUUAAUGCAUGUUCUUACCUGUAAUUCAGUGGAACUGACAGAUAGACAUGCCUUGAUAUCAAUCUACCUUAAAGCUGCUUUUUAAUGUAACUGAUAACUUAAGAAACAUUUCUAGGAUAUGCAAAAAUAUUUUUGAUGAAGGGAAGAAUCCAGUUUCUUACACUGAAUCCUUCACAUUCUGAGCACACAACCUUGUCUCAAUUAAAUUAUUUUGUUGUUAUUUUUAUUUUCUAGUAUUAUAUCAUAAAUUACACUCCACCAUCAAUAAUUACAUCAAAUAAAUACAUUAUUAAAAAAACAGAGUGCCUGUGAGAAGUUCCAAAUGAAUGCAACUGGAAAGUCAGUCAAUUGUUUUUUGUACUGAAUGGAUGGUAAAACUCUAUUUCUCCUACUUUCUCAGCCAGUCUGCUGCAAGCCCCAAACCAGAACUUUGGUGCAAAUGCUACUGAAGUCAAUGGGAAGGUUGACAUGGACUUCAGUGAGCUUCAGCUCAAUUGCUGCAAGAAGCAAAACUUCUGUCCUCAUGGAUCUUCAAAGCGGUGAACAAUGAUGGCUCAGAACAGCUGUGGUAGUUCUGUUGAGGUAAUAUCCACCCAACAAGAACUAAACCAAGAUACAUGUUUUUAAU